GAUGUCUGCUCUCCCACCAGAAAUCCUCCUUGAGUUUGAGAAAGGCAACUUCGUGGUAAAACGCAGUGAUCGACGCUUCAAUCAGGUUUCAGCGGAUCAAAGUACAGAGUGGCUAAAUGCUACAGGAAAAAGAGUGGAGGCCUAGUAGGUAUCACCAGGAUACCAACAUCCCUCAGUAGAUGGACACUGUCGUAUAAUCUGAGAACAGUCAUAGCUUCUCAGACAACAGCGAUGCUGAGACUGACAACAGAUGAUGAAGACAAUGAGUACACACACACAGAGUGCACAAAGAGUAGAAUGGAAAGAGAUGAUGUGGAUGAAAGCAGAAUAUGUCUAUCAUUAAAAGAGCACGGUGUGUUUCAAGAUGGUGGGGACACACUCAAGAACAUAAUCAACAAGGACGUGGUCACACCCCAGAUUCAACAAUCUCUGCUUGGUGCAGAACAGCUUGGACAGGCACAAAUGAAAGUGUUUGUGGACAAACGUCUGUGUGAACCUCCAGAUAGUGACCAGCACUUGGAUCUGAAGUCACCCAUUCGAAAGAACAAAGCCAAAACAUUUGCCUCUUUGUAUGAAGUCGUGCAACUUUCCAAGAACAAGCAAAACAUCAUCAAAGUGGACAGGCAGAUUCUACAAAGGCUCAUCACAGCUUACAGAGCAGGUCGCAAGGUAGACCUGGAAAAUAUUCUCCAGCAUGAACUCAUGCCCAUCCCGCCAUCUCUGGCCGCAACUAACGGCAGUCUACAUUCCACCAAUAAAUCUGUUUUAGCAAAUAUACUGACAAAACAUAUCCAAACCACUGCAGAUGUGCCCCUUCAGGAACCCAGCUGCUUUCUUAUUGAUGGCCAAGCACUUGUAAUGGCACUUGGGAAGCCGCCUGACAUCACAACAUUAGGCAACUAUGCCAACAAGUUUGCUGACACAGUGAUGAAGAUGGCAGAGAAGUACCAGAGGGUUGAUGUAGUCUUCGACAGGUACCAUGACGAAUCCAUCAAAACAGGCACAAGAAAGAAGCGUAAACAGCGCCACCGACCAGUACGCAGAGAGAUCGUGAAUGACUCUGUUCCACUUCCAGCAGACUGGUCGAGCUUCAUGGCACUGGAAGAAAACAAAGCAGAUCUCGCUCGACUACUCUCAAACCAUCUGAUAGAACACAGCCCAGAAUAUGAGCCAGUCGUUGUAGUAUCAGGUGGGUUUGCUGAAGCGACCACUGUCAAGUCAUCAGAUCCAGAACUUGAAAUCUCCUCUCUGAGUGCUGACCAUGAGGAGGCUGAUACACGACUGAUUUUGCACUGCAUCCAGGCUCCUAUGGACACAAUAGUUGUGUCAGCGCGUGACACAGCCGUGCUUCUUCUACUUCUAGCACAUCAUGACAGAAUUGGAUGUACCCAUCUCUACAUGAAAGCCGGGACAUCAAAGUAUCCAGAGUAUUUUCCAGUACAUGACAUUCGCAAGUUACUCUCUGAUGAUCAAGUGGACACACUGCUUGCCUUCCAUGCCAUCACUGGCUGUGAUAGUGUGUCUCAGUUCAGCGGUCACGGAAAGAAAACAGCCUGGCAGGUGUUCGAGCAACAUCACACUGAUCUUACUGGCCUUGGGAAGGGCCCUCUCACAGAAGAUAUUGUAAAUUCAACAGAGAAAUUCAUCUGUAAGAUGUAUGGUGUGCCUGAGGUUGAUACAUGCAACAAAGCAAGAGUGAAGUUGUUUUGCAAAGGUUGUCCACAAGAGACUCUGCCUCCAACCUCAGAUGCAGUGAAGUUUCAUAUCAUGCGUUCACACUAUCAAGCGACAAUCUGGAACCAAGCUCACCUGCCACAUCCUGAUCUUCCUCCAGUGGAUGAAAUGGGAUGGAUACACAAGGAAGGUCAAUUAGUGCCACGGCUAAUGUCUCUGCCACCUAUGCCUAAAGCCUGCAGGGAGUUCACUUCAUGUGGGUGUACCAAGGGAUGCCUCAGCCAACGCUGCAGCUGCAGAAAGAGUCGCAUGGAAUGUAUAGACGCAUGCAACUGCAGGAAACUUGACAACACUUGCCAGAACAUUGAAGAGGACUGUGAAUAAGCUGUCACUGUAACUUCUACUGGGAUAUAGUUCAAUGAAUAUCACCAUGAGCCAUGGAUCUUCCUGCUUUUGGAUCUUAUUUGAUUGACAACUUCUUUAUCACUAAUGACCACCUUUUUCUCUAUACAUGUGUGAUUUUCAAGCUGAUUAUUGACACUUGAUCUAAAUCAGGACAGGAUGUUAAAUUCCCCAUGUGUGAAAACCUGUGAACAUUUAAUUAAAGUUUGUAUCUUUUUGUAUUUGUUUGUACAUUUGACCUCAAAACAAAAUACAAAAAAAGUAAAUGUAGCCUGAUAAUAUCAACAAUAAUAGUAAUAAUAUUAAUAAUAAUAACUUAAAUAUUAAUUAGUUAAUAAUAGUUCAUAGUUAAAAACAACUAUUUUUGCAAUAUCUAAGCAGUUUCUUCACAUUACAUCUCAAAUCUGAAUAUGGCAUUGAAUUGCCCAUGUAGGAAAACUUACAAAAGCACAUUUAAUUCAUGUUUGUACCUUGUUUAGUCAAAAAGAUAUACUGAAAAAUAGAUUUCAGCCUGGCGGUGGUGGCCAUUUUGAAUUUCUCAAUUUUGAGGCAUUUUGGGACAUUUUUGAGCUUCAUAUACAGCAGAUUUGGAUUCAGCACCCCUUAAUACCCGUAGAAAUGUUGUAUAAUAUAAAUAAUCACAAAAUGCCUUCGGGGUUCUGAUUUUGUGAAAAUUGACCCUGUCU
Long non-coding RNA from Dicentrarchus labrax (European seabass), 2762 nucleotides. The record is from Ensembl. NCBI's taxonomy places the organism in Eukaryota, Metazoa, Chordata, Actinopteri, Moronidae.